UGGAGUGGGUGAGUCAAGCAGAAUAAGUAUACAGAUAUCUAUGUGUGAUAAGCAGCUUUUGCACUACAAUUUACAAAGCCACUUGACACCAGUCAGGCAGCACUACUUCUCCUGCCUUUCCGGAUUUUCCUGCCCACAGGCUUGUGCUUCUGAUUCAUAGAAACCUAAGCCAACCCUUAUCAUGAUGCUCUAUUGCUGUCUGCUUGUGGCUGUAAUCUUGGACGUAGUCUUAGCUGCUAAAUUACACUCAGGUAGGUCUCUAAGUGCUUUUCUUAGUGCUUUUCCCAUUUGCUCUCCUAUGUGCCUCUUCGUUGCAUAAGAAACACUUUAAAUUCAUUCAACCCACUUAAAUGAUGCAUAGUGAUGAAUCGUGCAGUGUUUUCCUUCUUAGGUAUGCAGACUAGAAAACAUGCUUUAAGAUUUCCUUUUUAAUUGGCUCAUCUAACCUCUGUAUGAAAAAAAAAAAAACAAAAAACCCCAACUCCUGCUGGUAGGACUUUUACAAGUGAGGAACAACCCAACGUGAGUUUGGUGUCCACGGAUAUGCUUUGCAGAUACUGACUACAGGUCAAGAGAUGUGAGGUCUCCUGGCAUUUCUGUCCAGAAGGAGAUACAUGAUGAGGAAUAAUCCAGGGCCCGGACGCUAACCACUGCUUGAGCUCUAAGCAUGGAGGAGAAGCCACCUCUCACUGGGAGCUGGAAAAAGGCAUCAAAGGCAAUCAAGAAGGUUUCAUGAGAAUUUGUCCCUUUCGAUUAGGUGGUCACAGCCUGCACAGGAAGAGUCAACAAAGCACCCUUUUUCUCGUUGACCUUCUGCUAUUCUUCUUGGCCAUGCAGGUGUUAGCAUAAGCCAUUUUGCUACUCUUUAGAGAAGCCACUUGUUUCCAUGACUGGCAAAGGAAUGGGAUGAGUAAGAGCAAAAGUGGCCAGGUAUGCAGAGCAUAAUGAGUUUCAAAAAAGUUUUUGAAACUUUUGAAAAGGUUUUGAAAAAGAACAAGAAAACCAUGGGUUCUCCUUUUUCCAAAGCAAAGGGGAAGCUGGAAUGGAAGCAUGGCUGUGAACGGCAGUUUUGUUUCCUGGUCUGCUCUGCUCAAUGCCUCAUCCAGGGUUUUCUGUAGAGAUGCAGACUAAUCCUGUGUAUAUCCCCCUGUUUCCACCAACGGCUUAAUUGACAUUAGGAACUGGUUGUAAAGGCUUCUUUAAAAUAAAAAUAGAUCCAAAUGAGUUCAGUAAGGGGAAAAAUGGAUUUGUGUGCAUCAGAGACUCAAAAAAUCAAAGUCCGCUGACGUAAUUAUGGAAAUUCAGGGGAGACAGACAAUAAUAAACUCUCCUAAUCGUGGGAUCCAGGAUGUAAAAAACAUACCCCAGGUUGUAAAUGAAAAUGCCUAUGUCAUGACAGGAAAGAUCUGGAGGGGGGAGGUGUUGUUUCAUAGCAAGCUGUGGAGAUGAGAGCAAAGAGAAGAGAGAGAGCAAUGAGAAGCAAUGGAGAAGAGAGAUGGAGAAGGAAGACAGGUCAACUCCCAAAGGAAACAAGGCCUCAGCCCACUGACAAGAAAAGAUUUAUGUCUUCCUUGCCUGUGCUAUUCUUCCUUCCCACUGCCAGGACAGUGGAAUGUCCUUGACAGAAGUGAGGAAAUGGUGUUUAACAACUGAGACCUCCAUGACUGUCCUUUGCUGAGAUAUGAGCACUUACUAGUGGGCUGAGAAAGGGAUAGGCAUGAAGUACUAGGAGGUGCAGAGGAUAUCUGAACUAGACAACCUGAGAGGGCAGGUGUAAGAGAAAGGUAAUAAUCAGAAACUAGUCCGCUCUCUGAGAGCAUCUUUACAUCAAGGUACUUCAAGAAUUUAAUUUUCUGCUGCCUGUGUUGGACAGGAGAGGGACUGCAUUCAUGACACUUGAAUGAACCAUCAUAUAAUUAGAAGAACAACCUGUGCUAGCUCAUGAGAUCUGGUUAUUAAAGGGCUUCCUUAAAGUCUCAAGAAAUAACAAUAUCUACUGAAAAUGCAAUUUCAUAAUAAACUGGUAAAUUUCUAGCCCUAAUAUGUAUGAAGAAAACAUUUAAAAUCAAA
Molecule: long non-coding RNA, 2070 nt
Organism: Cygnus olor (mute swan)
Lineage: Eukaryota; Metazoa; Chordata; Aves; Anseriformes; Anatidae
Exons: 3
Source: RefSeq, a predicted model, not a curated record